RNAcentral lists this ribosomal RNA (407 nucleotides) under Trichinella britovi. Its description in RNAcentral is "partial large subunit ribosomal RNA". The stretch from base 105 to 390 matches the Rfam family "Bacterial large subunit ribosomal RNA", at positions 2068 to 2651 of the family's 2925-position model. Lineage: Eukaryota; Metazoa; Nematoda; Enoplea; Trichinellida; Trichinellidae. The record is from RNAcentral.
AUAAUCAAUUGUUUAAUAAAUUUAAACUAGAAUGAAAGGAGUAAAGAAAGUUUACUAUUAACAUGUAAUCAACAGAAAUUAUAACUAAAGUGAAAAUUCCCUACAGCAAUCUUAAAACGAGAAGACCCUAGAAACUAAUAAUCACAACCUUUUUUGGGAUAAAACCUUAAAAUAAAAGAAUCAACAUCCUUUAAAAUAAAAUAGUUACUCUAGGGAUAACAGCACAAUAAAAGUUAAGAGAACUAAUCUACCCUUUAGAUUGUGACCUCGAUGUUGAAUCAAGAAUUACCGGUUGUAGAAGACCAGCAAGUUUCGUCUGUUCGACGACACAUAAAUACGUGAUUUGAGUUUAAACCGUCGCAAGACAGGUUGGAUUCUCUUUAAGACUGCAACAUUCAACCAUUAUA